Molecule: ribosomal RNA, 471 nt
Filed under: bacterium
Lineage: Bacteria
Description: partial 23S ribosomal RNA
Rfam family: Bacterial large subunit ribosomal RNA
Source: RNAcentral
CUAGCGCGGGGGUGUAGAAGCUCCCAAGCGUUUGGCUGUUCGCCAAUUAAAAGGGCACGUGAGCUGGGUUCAGACCGUCGUGAGACAGGUCGGUCUCUAUCUGCUGCAGGCGUUGAUACUUGAGGGGAGUUGGCCUUAGUACGAGAGGACUUGGCUGAACGGACCUCUGGUGUACCGGCUUUGGUACCAACUGAAGCGCCGGGUAGCUAUGUUCGGAAGGGAUAAGCGCUGAAAGCAUCUAAGCGCGAAGCCUACCCCGAGAUUAGGUAUCUGCGUGCGUAGCACGCUAUCAACGAAUAACGAAUGCCGAACGAAUUUACGAAUUCGUAUAUUCGCGACAGAUUCGAAAUUCGCUGAUGAGCGCGCUGCGCGCGCGAGGUUUCGUAGGAGAUUACUACGUCGAUAGGCCACAGGUGUAAGGCCAGUAAUGGUUUAAGCCGAGUGGUACUAAUAACCGUUAAUGCUUCUUUG